Molecule: ribosomal RNA, 253 nt
Filed under: uncultured bacterium
Lineage: Bacteria
Description: partial 16S ribosomal RNA
Rfam family: Bacterial small subunit ribosomal RNA
Source: RNAcentral
UACGUAGGGUGCAAGCGUUGUCCGGAAUUAUUGGGCGUAAAGCGUCCGCAGGUGGCACCUCAAGUCUGCUGUCAAAGACCGGGGCUUAACCCCAGAAAGGCAGUGGAAACUGAAGUGCUAGAGUGCAGUAGGGGUAGAGGGAAUUCCCGGUGUAGCGGUGAAAUGCGUAGAGAUCGGGAAGAACAUCGGUGGCGAAAGCGCUCUGCUGGACUGCAACUGACACUCAGGGACGAAAGCUAGAGGAGCGAAUGGG